RNAcentral lists this unclassified non-coding RNA (380 nucleotides) under soil metagenome. Its description in RNAcentral is "partial contains 5.8S ribosomal RNA, internal transcribed spacer 2, and large subunit ribosomal RNA". The stretch from base 1 to 120 matches the Rfam family "5.8S ribosomal RNA", at positions 35 to 154 of the family's 154-position model. The record is from RNAcentral.
GAUGAAGAACGUAGCGAAAUGCAAUAAGUAAUGUGAAUUGCAGAAUUCAGUGAAUCAUCGAAUCUUUGAACGCACCUUGCACCCUUUGGCAUUCUGAAGGGUAUGCUCGUUUGAGUGUCAUUGUACUCUCACACUCCCGAUCUUUGCAUUGGGAGCAGUGGACUUGGGUUUGCUGCUUCACCGUCGCUUACCUCAAAUAGGUUAGUGCAACUCUUGGUUGGACAUAGUACGGCGUGAUAAGUGUUCUUCGCCGGUGCCUCGCAAAGAGGGUGGCCGAUCGGGAUGUUGUGCUCCAAACCGUCUUCGGACAAUCUCUGACGACUUGACCUCAAAUCGAGUAAGACUACCCGCUGAACUUAAGCAUAUCAAUAAGCGGAGGA